UACGUAGGGGGCUAGCGUUGUCCGGAAUCAUUGGGCGUAAAGAGCGUGUAGGCGGCCCGGUAAGUCCGCUGUAAAAGUCAAAGGCUCAACCUUUGAAUGUCAGUGGAUACUGCCGGGCUAGAGUCCGGAAGAGGCGAGUGGAACUCCUGGUGUAGCGGUGGAAUGCGCAGAUAUCAGGAAGAACACCAACGGCGAAGGCAGCUCGCUAGGAAGGAACUGACGCUGAGGCGCGAAAGCGUGGGGAGCAAACAGG
This 253-nucleotide ribosomal RNA is filed under the name uncultured bacterium. RNAcentral describes it as "partial 16S ribosomal RNA". It matches the Rfam family "Bacterial small subunit ribosomal RNA", at positions 524 to 776 of the family's 1533-position model. The record is from RNAcentral.